AUUGAACGCUGGAGGCAGGCCUAACACAUGCAAGUCGAGCGGAGCGGCGGACGGGUGAGUAAUGACUAGGAAUCUGCAUGGUAGUGGGGGAUAAAGUCCGGAAAGGGGAGCUAAUAACGCAUCCUAACAGAUGAGCCUAGGUGGGAUUAGCUAGUUGGUGGGGUAAAGGCCUACCAAGGCGAAGAUCCGUAACUGGUCUGAGAGGAUGAUCAGUCACACUGGAACUGAGACACGGUCCAGACUCCUACGGGAGGCAGCAGUGGGGAAUAUUGGACAAUGGGCGAAAGCCUGAUCCAGCCAUGCCGCGUGUGUGAAGAAGGUCUUCGGAUUGUAAAGCACUUUAAGUUGGGAGGCGUUACCAACAGAAUAAGCACCGGCUAACUUCGUGCCAGCAGCCGCGGUAAUUC
This 407-nucleotide ribosomal RNA is filed under the name uncultured bacterium. Its description in RNAcentral is "partial 16S ribosomal RNA". It matches the Rfam family "Bacterial small subunit ribosomal RNA", at positions 30 to 526 of the family's 1533-position model. The record is from RNAcentral.